AUUGAACGCUGGCGGCAGGCCUAACACAUGCAAGUCGAACGAGUGGCGUAAGGGUUAGUAAUGUCUGGGACACUGCCUGAUGGAUGAGGAUCGCUACUGGCAACGGUAGCUAAUACCGCAUACCAUCGGCUAUGCCCAGAUGGGAUUAGCUAGUGGGUGGGGUAAAGGCUCACCUAGGCGACGAUCCCUACCUGGUCUGAGAGGAUGACCAGCCACACAGGAAAUGAGACACGGGCAAGACUCCUACGGGAGGCAGCAGUGGGGAAUAGUGCACAAUGGGCGAAAGCCUGAUGCAGCCAUGCCGCGUGUAUGAAGAAGGCCUUCGGGUUGUAAAGUACUUUCAGCGGGGAGGCGUUACCCGCAGAAGAAGCACCGGCUAACUCCGUGCCAGCAGCCGCGGUAAUUC
RNAcentral lists this ribosomal RNA (406 nucleotides) under uncultured bacterium. RNAcentral's name for it is "partial 16S ribosomal RNA". It matches the Rfam family "Bacterial small subunit ribosomal RNA", at positions 30 to 526 of the family's 1533-position model. The record is from RNAcentral.